RNAcentral lists this ribosomal RNA (95 nucleotides) under Acipenser ruthenus (sterlet). Its description in RNAcentral is "partial large subunit ribosomal RNA". Lineage: Eukaryota; Metazoa; Chordata; Actinopteri; Acipenseriformes; Acipenseridae. The record is from RNAcentral.
UCUACCGUCACCCAGGUCAUUACCAACAAAGACACCAAGAAAACCUUAAGAGUUAUUCAAGAGAGGUACAGCUCUCUUGAAAAAGAACACAACCU